UGAGUUACCAUUUUGCCACACUUAUGGAGUUUAGUCCUUUUUUCCUUGCUUUGGAAACUACUUUCUCUCAUUCUUGGUACUGGGAUACUCAACAACAUGGACUUCUAGGAGAAAGACCUGAAUGUAGCUUCACCUCUCUCCUUUCCAAUACGGAGAUCACACUGCAACCUCUGCCAGAUACUGCAGCAUAUUCCACAGCUGGUACUUUCAAGCCUGAGGAUACAGCGUGAAGGUACAUCAUAUGUGGGAUGAAGACCAGGCAUGUCAAGAAAUCCUGUUCGGCUUUUCUUUUAGUCACUGAAUUCUAUUCUGCUAUCACAGAUCACACUGCAACCUCUGCCAGAUACUGCAGCAUAUUCCACAGCUGGUACUUCCAAGCCUGAGGAUACAGCGUGAAGGUACAUCAUAUGUGGGAUGAAGACCAGGCAUGUCAAGAAAUCCUGUUCGGCUUUUCUUUUAGUCACUGAAUUCUAUUCUGCUAUCAGCUCUGGGCAUUUUUGUGAUGUUUACCAGCUCAGUUACUUUUGUCAUUCCUUUAAAUGUGCUUACACUUUGUUUGACUUUGUGAGAAGUGUUAUAGUUUUACAUAUAGAGGAGUAAGCAUAACCAAUAAUAUCUAAAUUAUUUGCUUGUUUUACCCCAAAGAAACUGUCUCUAGAUGAAAUAUAAUUCUAAGUAUUCUAAUUCUGCUGAGUGCUCUGCUGCACUGGUUGCAAAAGUCGAAUGGUAUAAUCUUCAGUACUAAUCAGAAGCUCUGGGCAAGGAAUGAACAUUUUAUGCCUCAUCAAUCUGUGUCUGCCAAAGACCUUGCAAAAAAAAGGGAGUUUUGAUUGGUUAAUGUAUGCACAUCUUGAGAAUUUUAGCCCUCUGAAUGUAAGAAAUUCUACUGCCUGAACAGGUGAGUAAAAUGCUAGCUAGCACACUAGGAGAAAUCCAAAGCUGAACAAUCUACAGUUUCUUGGUAAACCUCUACAGCUUUUCUUUUUACACAGGCCAUGUGAAACAUCAGUAUCAAAAAUAGCUCUAAAACACCCCUAUGCUAGUAUGUCAUUGUGUCUGGCUAGAUCCCAUCUAAAAAAUGUCUGGGGUAUAUAAGAGGACUUUUGUCAUUGUUAAUAGUGAAGGUUAAAUGUCUCCUUAAAGCCUAUGGAUCCAUGGAGCUAACCUGUUAUACCACUUUCAGCAGCCAGUGCCACACAUCGGUAGAUGCCAAUACUUUGGGGCUGUAUU
Molecule: long non-coding RNA, 1230 nt
Filed under: Dromaius novaehollandiae (emu)
Lineage: Eukaryota; Metazoa; Chordata; Aves; Casuariiformes; Dromaiidae
Description: lncRNA (ENSDNVG00000000172.1)
Source: RNAcentral